Molecule: non-coding RNA, 437 nt
Filed under: Puccinia triticina 1-1 BBBD Race 1
Lineage: Eukaryota; Fungi; Basidiomycota; Pucciniomycetes; Pucciniales; Pucciniaceae
Description: Eukaryotic large subunit ribosomal RNA
Rfam family: Eukaryotic large subunit ribosomal RNA
Source: Rfam by way of RNAcentral
ACCCCCCUUUUCAACCAAAAUUUUAAGCUACAGGUGGACAUAUCAAUAAGCGGAGGAUAUGAGGCCAAGGAUUAACGGCGAGUGAAUGAAGAGGAAAGCCCAAAAUUUGUAAAUCUCAGGCUCUUUCAGAGUCCGAGUUGAGAACUGUUUUCAGUGCUGGCAGCAUCAUUGAGGGUGAUAUGGACUACCAGUGCAUGUUCAUGAUAUGGACUACCAAGAGUCGAGUUGUUUCGAGUUGUUUGGGGAAUGCAGCUCAAAGUGGGUGGUAAAUUCCAUCUAGAGGGAAAGAUGAAAGGAAAAGAUGAAAAGAAGUACCGUGAGGGAUGAAAUUGUUAAAAGGGAAGUUAGACUUGUUUAGACUUGUUAGUUAUUGACUUGUUUUUAAUAAAAGGGAGUAUUCUACAUCAAAUUUUUUGGAGGCGGAUUUUUGGGGUUUA